AGGUUCAAAUCAAAGUCAAAAUUAGACAAAAAAAAUUUGAAAAUCAAGUCUAAAUUGAAAAUUUUAUCAAAACUCAAAAAUCGAUUGGUUCAAACAGAAUCAAACUAAAAUAGAGCGGUUUGAUUCAGUUUAAUUUUUUAUUUAUUUCAAUUUAGUUCGGUUUCUAAAAUAUAAUAAUUCACUUAAUUCAAUUUUAAUGAUUUAAUUUGAUUCAAUUGAGUUAGAACCGAUUGCUCAGCUGUAAGGGUAGGUGAAUUUGCAAAUCUUUGCAUCACUUGCAAAUAGUAGAAUUUUUUGGUUGCUAUUUCUUUAGCAGAUUUUUGUAGCAAAACAAGGUUGGAUAUGCAGCUUCAGAAAAACAAGGUUUUCUUUUUCCUUUCUUCUAAAAUAGGAAAAGUUUCUACUCUUUUGUAUACGUACAGAAAAUCCUUAUUCUGAUAUUGAAGGAUGAGUUUUAGAUAGUGAUACUGUUCAUUUACCUCCAAUAACAUAUCAUUUCUGUUCUUCAAACCCUUGUCAACUUGUCGUAAGUAUUAAAUUCUCAAAUGUUUUGCUAGUCAGGAAGAAAGGCAGAGCCGGGAAAAUGCUCACAACCUUCAGAGGUCACAGAAAAGAAGAGAGAAAAGUU
RNAcentral lists this unclassified non-coding RNA (628 nucleotides) under Hevea brasiliensis (rubber tree). Lineage: Eukaryota; Viridiplantae; Streptophyta; Magnoliopsida; Malpighiales; Euphorbiaceae. The record is from RNAcentral.